This 1142-nucleotide ribosomal RNA is filed under the name Iassus lateralis. Its description in RNAcentral is "16S ribosomal RNA". The record is from RNAcentral. Lineage: Eukaryota; Metazoa; Arthropoda; Insecta; Hemiptera; Cicadellidae.
UUAUAAAUUUUAUAUUUUUUUUUAUAUUUUUAUUUUUUUUAGUAAAUUUUAGAAAUAAUUUAUUUUUUAAACUGUAAAGGUUAAAUUUUAAUCUUUUUGUAAAAAUUUUUUUUACCUUUGGUAUCAGGGUUUCUUUAUUUAAAUAAUUAUUUUAUUUUCCCGAAUUUAAAUUAUUUAUUCAUAAAUUAUUUUAACUGUUUUAUAAUUUUUUUUAAUUUAUGUUUUAUAAUUAAAAGUUAUUUGAAUUUUAUUAUAUCUGGUUAUUUUGGAUUAAGUUUAAUUUUGGAUUUAUUUUUAAUAUAAUUUUUAUUUUUAAUUCUUAGUUUAUUUAGGAUAAUCUAAAUAAUUAUUUAAAAUUUUUUUAUUUUGAUUUUUAUUAAGUUUUAAAAUUUCUAUUUAGUUAUUAAUAUUUUAUUUUCUUUUUUUAUAUAUAUAUUUAAUUUUUUACUUAAUUUAUUUAUUUAAUUUUUUUUUAUUUUUAAUAAUUAGUUAAUUAGUAUUUUUUAUAAUUAUUUUUUAUGAAUUAGACAAAUUUUUAGUAUUCAUCUGUUUAUUAAAAACAUUUCUUUUAGUUUAAGUUUUAAAAGUAAGUUCUGCCCAAUGAAUAUUUUAAUGGCUGCAGUAUUUUAACUGUACAAAGGUAGCAUAAUAAUUUGGUUUUUAAUUGAGAUCUAGAAUGAAUGAAUUCAUGAAAUACUUGUUUUAUUAAUUUUAAAUAUUGAAUUUUAUUUUUUAGUAAAAAAGCUAAAUAUUUUAUCAGUGACGAUAAGACCCUAUAGAAUUUUAUUUUUUUUUAUCAUGUAAUUAAUAAACAAAAAAUUUAGUUGGGGUGAUUAAUAAAUAUAUUCUUUAUUUUUUAUAUUCAUUAUAAAUGAUUUUUUGAUCCUUUUUAGACAAUAAAAUUAAAUUACCUUAGGGAUAACAGCGUAAUUAAAAUAGGAAGUUCUUAUUUUUGUUUUAGAUUUCGACCUCGAUGUUGAAUUAAGUUAAUUAAUUAGUGUAGCAGCUAAUUUAAUAAGUCUGUUCGACUUUUAAAUUCUUACAUGAUUUGAGUUUAAACCGGUGUGAGCCAGGUUGGUUUUUAUCUUGAUAUAUUUAAUCUUUUUUAGUACGAAAGGACCAUUAAGUUAAAUUUAAAUUUU